RNAcentral lists this long non-coding RNA (362 nucleotides) under Salmo salar (Atlantic salmon). RNAcentral describes it as "lncRNA (ENSSSAG00000104131.1)". Lineage: Eukaryota; Metazoa; Chordata; Actinopteri; Salmoniformes; Salmonidae. The record is from RNAcentral.
CUCCAACCCUGUUCCUGGAGAACUACCCUCCUGUAGGUUUUAACUCCAACCCUGUUCCUGGAGAGAUACCCUCCUGUAGGUUUAUACUCCAACCCUGUUCCUGGAGAGCUACCCUCCUGUAGGUUUUAACUCCAACCCUGUUCCUGGAGAGAUAUCCUCCUGUAGGUUUUAACUCCAACCCUGUUCCUGGAGAGAUACCCUCCUGUAGGUUUUAACUCCAACCCUGUUCCUGGAGAGAUGCCCUCCUGUAGGUUUUAACUCCAACCCUGUUCCUGGAGAGCUACCCUCCUGUAGGUUUUAACUCCAACCCUGUUCCUGGAGAGAUACCCUCCUGUAGGUUUUAACUCCAACCCUGUUCCUGG